Molecule: ribosomal RNA, 61 nt
Filed under: Caloenas maculata (spotted green pigeon)
Lineage: Eukaryota; Metazoa; Chordata; Aves; Columbiformes; Columbidae
Description: partial 12S ribosomal RNA
Source: RNAcentral
CCCCAGCUCACCUCCGCUGAGAGUACAACAGUGAGCAUAAUCGCCCUAACCCCGCUAAUAA